ACGGCAGCCCGGUGAAGCCAAGGUCGAACCGGAAGAGAAGGUUCGUCCUCCCGACCCGGGCACCCAGCACGGCCCCCGGAACCCACGCGGAGUCAUAGCCGCGAUAAUGGCAGAAUUGUUGCGGGCCUGCGUAAUUGCGAAAUUCAGAUGGUACCGGCGGUCCUUUGGGUGGGGCUGCAGCCAGAAGGGUCGCAAAAGCGCCGAGGCCAACCCACGCAGCCCACAAAUGCACGCUUGGUAACCGAGAUCCGUGUUGGCGGGCGGCGACUCGAAAAUACUUUCGGUCGCCGCCCGCAUUGCAUU
This is a non-coding RNA of Mycobacterium ulcerans str. Harvey, 303 nucleotides long. Lineage: Bacteria; Bacillati; Actinomycetota; Actinomycetes; Mycobacteriales; Mycobacteriaceae. The record is from Rfam.